CCUGCCACCACCCCUCUUUUUCUCUUUACUUCUUUCACUUCCUUCCUUGCUUCCUUGAUCUCCUCGCUUCCAUAUUUUCCUCCACUUUGCCUUCGCCACCGCCAUAACCAUGAUAUCGAUGCCAGUUCUGAUGCUGAGGUCCAUGUUGACUAUGCUGAGAGCACUUGUGCGUGAACCCGCCGCCACAGUGACCACCAUCCUCUUCUACACCAAUCUCCUUCCUCGCCAUCUUUACUUAGAGCGAUCUCUCCGCCCAGACCUUCUUCACCCUCACAACUAUUUCUUCCAUCUUCUUAUCAACUUCCUCACCUGUCUCUGAUCAGAGCUACGAAUGAGAUCAGUUCAUGAACUCAUGAAACUCAGCGUUGAGCCUCACACAUGUUUAUCGUACGUUACUUGUAUCACAAGAAUAAUGGGAGCUUCACUGAUUAUAAUAAGCAAGCUGAAAGCUUCCUCCUCCUUCAUUAUAUAUAUUCAUUAUUAUUCGUUCUUAUUAUAUAUGCAGCGCAUGUGUGGAAGAUAGGAUAUUGAAGUUGUAAAUUUGUCAGUGUAGGAACUGAAUCUAGCUAGCUGGAUGGUUGUUAAUUGAAGAGAAGGUCCGAUCAAAUUUCAGGGAAUUAUCAUAUCAUCAAUAUUAUGCAUUGAGCUAGAUUGAGAGCCAAAAUUAUUUGAGGAUUUAUCACGUAAUUUAUGUAUGCACAAGUGUAAUUUGAACAUGACUUAA
Prosopis cineraria is the source of this 724-nucleotide long non-coding RNA. RefSeq lists it as uncharacterized. The record is from RefSeq and is a predicted model, not a curated record. The transcript is spliced from 3 exons. Lineage: Eukaryota; Viridiplantae; Streptophyta; Magnoliopsida; Fabales; Fabaceae.